GAAAUGCGAUAAGUAAUGUGAAUUGCAGAAUUCAGUGAAUCAUCGAAUCUUUGAACGCACCUUGCGCUCCUUGGUAUUCCUUGGAGCAUGCCUGUUUGAGUAUCAUGAAAUCUUCAAAGUAAAUCUUUUGUUAACUCAAUUGGUUUCUACUUUGGUAUUGGAGGUCUUUGCAGCUUCACACCUGCUCCUCUUUGUUCAUUAGCUGGAUCUCAGUGUUAUGCUUGGUUCCACUCGGCGUGAUAAGUUAUCUAUCGCUGAGGACACUGUACAAGGUGGCCAAGGUAAAUGCAGAUGAACCGCUUCUAAUAGUCCAUUGACUUGGACAAUACUUUUAUGAUCUGAUCUCAAAUCAGGUAGUACUACCCGCUGAACUUAAGC
RNAcentral lists this unclassified non-coding RNA (378 nucleotides) under plant metagenome. RNAcentral describes it as "partial contains 5.8S ribosomal RNA, internal transcribed spacer 2, and large subunit ribosomal RNA". The stretch from base 1 to 105 matches the Rfam family "5.8S ribosomal RNA", at positions 50 to 154 of the family's 154-position model. The record is from RNAcentral.